UGAUCAUAGAAGACUGUAGAUAAUCUCAGGGU
Molecule: non-coding RNA, 32 nt
Filed under: Mus musculus (house mouse)
Lineage: Eukaryota; Metazoa; Chordata; Mammalia; Rodentia; Muridae
Source: RNAcentral